AACUUGCUACAACGUAUCUCUUGGCUCUGGCAUCGAUUAAGAACGCAGCGAAAUGCGAUAAGUAGUGUGAAUUGCAGAAUUCAGUGAAUCAUCGAAUCUUUGAACGCACAUUGCGCCCCUUGGUAUUCCAUGGGGCAUGCCUGUUCGAGCGUCAUCUACACCCUCAAGCUCUGCUUGGUGUUGGGCGUCUGUCCCGCCUCUGCGCGUGGACUCGCCCCAAAUUCAUUGGCAGCGGUCCUUGCCUCCUCUCGCGCAGCACAUUGCGCUUCUCGAGGUGCGCGGCCCGCGUCCACGAAGCAACAUUACCGUCUUUGACCUCGGAUCAGGUAGGGAUACCCGCUGAACUUAAGCAUAUCAAUAAGCGGAGGC
RNAcentral lists this unclassified non-coding RNA (369 nucleotides) under uncultured Microdiplodia. Its description in RNAcentral is "sequence contains ITS2". The stretch from base 1 to 154 matches the Rfam family "5.8S ribosomal RNA". The record is from RNAcentral. Lineage: Eukaryota; Fungi; Ascomycota; Dothideomycetes; Botryosphaeriales; Botryosphaeriaceae.